GAUGAACGCUGGCGGCGUGCUUAACACAUGCAAGUCGAACGAUGAAGCCCAGCUUGCUGGGUGGAUUAGUGGCGAACGGGUGAGUAACACGUGAGUAACCUGCCCUUAACUCUGGGAUAAGCCUGGGAAACUGGGUCUAAUACCGGAUAGGAGCGUCCACCGCAUGGUGGGUGUUGGAAAGAUUUAUCGGUUUUGGAUGGACUCGCGGCCUAUCAGCUUGUUGGUGAGGUAAUGGCUCACCAAGGCGACGACGGGUAGCCGGCCUGAGAGGGUGACCGGCAAAACGGGGAAGGAGAAACGCCCAAGACCCCGGGGGGAGGAGGAGGGGGGGAAUAGGGAAAAGGGGGCGAAAGCGUGAAGGAGCGACGCGGGGGGGGGGAGGAAGGCCUGGGGUUUGUAAACCUUUUAGAGGAGGAAAGAAGAAAAGGGGAGGGACGGUGAAAAAGAAAACCGGCAAAAAAAGGGC
RNAcentral lists this ribosomal RNA (466 nucleotides) under uncultured bacterium. RNAcentral's name for it is "partial 16S ribosomal RNA". It matches the Rfam family "Bacterial small subunit ribosomal RNA", at positions 28 to 493 of the family's 1533-position model. The record is from RNAcentral.